GAUGAAGAACGUAGUGAAAUGCGAUACUUGGUGUGAAUUGCAGAAUCCCGUGAACCAUCGAGUCUUUGAACGCAAGUUGCGCCCGAAGCCAUCAGGUUGAGGGCACGUCUGCCUGGGCGUCACAUAUCGUUGCCCAAUGCCUAUUGCAGUGCAAUAGGAAUUUCUAGGGCGAAUGAUGGCUUCCCGUGAGCGUUGUUGCCUCGCGGUUGGUUGAAAAUCGAGUCCUUGGUAGGGUGUGCCAUGGUAGAUGGUGGUCGAGUUAGAACGAUACCGAUCAUGUGCAUGCUCCCCAAAAUAUGGCCUCUAUGACCCACACGCGUCUUUUGACGCUCAUGACGAGACCUCAGGUCAGGCGGGGCUACCCGCUGAAUUUAAGCAUAUUCAAUAAGCGGAGGA
Molecule: unclassified non-coding RNA, 396 nt
Filed under: soil metagenome
Description: partial contains 5.8S ribosomal RNA, internal transcribed spacer 2, and large subunit ribosomal RNA
Rfam family: 5.8S ribosomal RNA (bases 1-122)
Source: RNAcentral